CCUACGGGUGGCAGCAGUGGGGAAUAUUGGACAAUGGGCGAAAGCCUGAUCCAGCCAUGCCGCGUGUGUGAAGAAGGCCUUCGGGUUGUAAAGCACUUUCAGUGGAGAAGAAAGCCUUGGGGCUAAUACCCUCGAGGAAGGACAUUACCCACAGAAGAAGCACCGGCUAACUCCGUGCCAGCAGCCGCGGUAAUACGGAGGGUGCGAGCGUUAAUCGGAAUUACUGGGCGUAAAGCGCGCGUAGGCGGUCUGAUAAGCCGGUUGUGAAAGCCCCGGGCUCAACCUGGGAACGGCAUCCGGAACUGUCAGGCUAGAGUGCAGGAGAGGAAGGUAGAAUUCCCGGUGUAGCGGUGAAAUGCGUAGAGAUCGGGAGGAAUACCAGUGGCGAAGGCGGCCUUCUGGACUAACACUGACGCUGAGGUGCGAAAGCGUGGGUAGCAAACAGGAUUAGAUACCCGAGUAGUC
Molecule: ribosomal RNA, 465 nt
Filed under: Vreelandella stevensii
Lineage: Bacteria; Pseudomonadati; Pseudomonadota; Gammaproteobacteria; Oceanospirillales; Halomonadaceae
Description: partial 16S ribosomal RNA
Rfam family: Bacterial small subunit ribosomal RNA
Source: RNAcentral